Molecule: ribosomal RNA, 347 nt
Filed under: uncultured bacterium
Lineage: Bacteria
Description: bacterial SSU rRNA
Rfam family: Bacterial small subunit ribosomal RNA
Source: RNAcentral
AGGGUUUGAUUCUGGCUCAGGACGAACGCUGGCGGCGUGCCUAAUACAUGCAAGUGGGACGCUUCAACUCAUUUGUUACUUUUUGUAACAGCUGAGAAGAAGAGUCGCGAACGGGUGAGUAACGCGUAGGUAACCUGCCUGAUAGCGGGGGAUAACUAUUGGAAACGAUAGCUAAUACCGCAUAAGAGGAGUUAACUCAUGUUAACUGUUUAAAAGAAGCAAUGGCUUCACUAUCAGAUGGACCUGCGUUGUAUUAGCUAGUAGGUAGGGUAACGGCCUACCUAGGCAACGAUACAUAGCCGACCUGAGAGGGUGAUCGGCCACACUGGGACUGAGACACGGCCCAG